UAGAGUUUGAUCAUGGCUCAGGAUGAACGCUAGCGACAGGCCUAACACAUGCAAGUCGAGGGGCAGCACGGUGUAGCAAUACACGGGUGGCGACCGGCGCACGGGUGAGUAACGCGUAUGCAACCUGCCUACUACAAGGGGAUAACCCGUUGAAAGACGGACUAAUACCCUAUAACACAGGGAAUCCGCAUGGAUAUAUUUGUUAAAGAUUUAUCGGUAGUAGAUGGGCAUGCGUUCCAUUAGCUUGUUGGUGAGGUAACGGCUCACCAAGGCAACGAUGGAUAGGGGAACUGAGAGGUUGAUCCCCCACACUGGAACUGAGACACGGUCCAGACUCCUACGGGAGGCAGCAGUGAGGAAUAUUGGUCAAUGGACGAGAGUCUGAACCAGCCAAGUCGCGUGAAGGAAGACGGCCCUACGGGUUGUAAACUUCUUUUGUAAGGGAAUAAAUAGUCUUACGAGCUAAGACGUUGCAGGUACCUUACGAAUAAGGAUCGGCUAACUCCGUGCCAGCCGCCGCGGUAAUACA
RNAcentral lists this ribosomal RNA (529 nucleotides) under Bacteroidales bacterium 24bR. Its description in RNAcentral is "bacterial SSU rRNA". It matches the Rfam family "Bacterial small subunit ribosomal RNA", at positions 1 to 527 of the family's 1533-position model. The record is from RNAcentral. Lineage: Bacteria; Pseudomonadati; Bacteroidota; Bacteroidia; Bacteroidales.